Long non-coding RNA from Oncorhynchus gorbuscha (pink salmon), 678 nucleotides. RefSeq lists it as uncharacterized. Lineage: Eukaryota; Metazoa; Chordata; Actinopteri; Salmoniformes; Salmonidae. The transcript is spliced from 4 exons. The record is from RefSeq and is a predicted model, not a curated record.
AAGGAAGAGGAGGAGGGGAAUCUGUCCUUAGAGAGUAGCACCACGCGGAUCGACACGUUACAGCCCCCACAAUGCAACAGUAGAGAGCCAAGUCGUGAUCCAGUUGCAGAGAGGUUUGUUCAGCUGGGUUGUCUGGGAGGCGGAGGCUACGGGAUCGUCUACGCUGGGUACCGCAGAGAAGACAACCUACCUGUGGCUAUAAAACGUGUCCCCUUGGCCAAAGUGUUACGCAUACCGGUGACUCAGGAUGGACAGCAGGUGGAGUUUCCCUUGGAGGUGGUGUUACUGCGGAUCGUGGGAGGUAGGGGUGAGGCUACGGAGGAGGGGAUGGGUGAGGUUGUCCCUCCUCCCCGUGCUGCGGUGGCCUUGCUGGACUGGUUUGAGCUGGAUCGGGAGUUGGUGCUGGUUCUGGAGAGACCAGUUCCCUGUAUGGACCUCUAUGACUACAUUCAGAUGAGAGGAGGAACUCUGCAGGAGGAACACGCCAAGGUCAUUCUGAGGCAGCUAGUUGAAGCGAUGAGAGAGGUCCAUUCCAGAGGUGUUCUCCAUCGUGACCUCAAACCGGAGAACGUUCUAGUAGAAACCGGUUCCACCUCGCCUCGGAUCAGGGUCCUGGACUUCGGCUGCGGCUGCAUUCUCAGAGAUGGGCUUUACACAGAGUGUUACGGUAGGUUGGUG